GAAAACCUUGUCUAGGUGCGUAUCAAGGCCUGGCUGUCUAGAAGAUUAUUUUGACUAUAUAAAAGCUUAAAAUGGUGAAGAGAAUUUUCAUCUCUGGAAAUGAGAAAAGACAUCCUGGGAACAGAAGUCCUUGGAAACCAAUGAGAGAGUGGGCAGGUUCCUGUGGAGUGCUAACUUCCAGUACAGAAUAAAGAAGCGUUGCAAGCUGAAACAUGACUCUUAUCUAUAGCCACCUGCCUAAAGCUGAUAGUUGAACACCAGCUGGGAGUUAUCACCCAAAGAAGCAUAAAAGGGCUGGAGUGAGACAAAAUGAUCCAUCAAGUCCUGCUUCACCAAGUCCUAAUAACCUUACAAUACAAAACAGAGAACAGUAUGAGUCAUGGAAUCUUCUUUGACUGAUUCUUCACAUAAAUGAAAGUAGUUUCUCAUUUCUCAUGGUAUUUAUGGUGGUUUUCCAAGCCUUCUUUUCUUGCUGGCUGUUCUGAUUGAUAGUAAGGUUUUUAGCAAUUGUGUGAAAAUCAACUCAGAGCUUCAGUUUGUUCUUGUUGAUGCUAUCUGUCAAUGUAUGGAGACCAGGACCUCCAUAGAAAAGGAUGGCAAUGCCAAAACAAUGAAGGCUCAUAAUUUAACCCAUGUUUCAGUGUAAAUAAAGACAACAGUGUGGAAUAGAGUUUCCAAAAUUCAGGACUAUUUGGACCUUGUGUUCUGUUCCAAGCCUCUCUUGAACAAAUAUGCUUUCCUUUCUAAAUUAUAUUACUGAAUGCUAGGGAAAGAAAUUGUGAGGAAAGAUCUAUUUAAUGAAAUCUAGAGAUGACUUGACAAAACAAGCUUUAGUGAACUGUUUAAGUUCAUUUUCUAAUGGUUUAAACAGAUGUUACCUCUAAGAAGCUCUCACAAAAUUAUGCCUUUGGAAAGCUUACCUUACAUACUUCAUGGUCUUGUAAAAGUGGCGUAUUUUGUAUGAAUAACCAUGGAGGAAAAGGACUAACAGCAUUAACUUUUAAUGGUUUUAGUUUUAAAUUUUAAAGCUAUGUAUUCACCAGUCCCCUAGCUUUUUCUCUAGGGAGUCAAAAAGAAGGAAGGAAAAUUUUGAUGCAUGUGGUUGUUGACAGUAGCUGAAAAUUGAAUAAAUAUUACAAGAAUUUAAAAACAAAAAUAAUUAAAUGAAAGUAUAGAAAUGGUGGUAAAAAGUGUCUGAGCUGUAUUGUCCUUGUGACAAAACAGAAAGCAAGAUGUGUGUGAACAGGAUGUGAGCAUAACCUGAGAUCAUGAGAUAAAGAUUCUUACCUGGUUUUUACUGUGAAAACAUAACUGUGAGCCUAAAACUUAACACUGGAAAUAAUGCUGAUUUAAAGAUUAACAACCCAUUGUGUAGUUGGGUACUAAUUGAAGAGGUUUGGAUUUUUAGAUAUCAAGUAAAUUAAAUGGUGGAAUGAAAUUUUGAAAAUACUUGUAUACCUAGAACAACAGCUGGCAUUUAAUCUCACCAUUUACUUGUAUAAACCAUUUAAUGCAGGCAAAUUUUUUGUUGCCCAAAACUCAUUUGCUGCUCCUUCACAAUUGCAUAGCUUUUUCUGGGACCAAUCUAUCCAUGUCAGGAUGUAUGUCGGGAAGUUAUUUCAAAGCCUCUUGGAUAUGCUACCUAUUUCUUGCACAGGCUCUACAGUUUCUGUGUACCCCUCUCUGUUGUGAUCAUCCCUGGAGACCUCAGAGGAAUUACUGCCAAAGCUCCAGGCAUCCCUGUGGGGCUUGUAUGGAACUAGUCUGUUAGGCAUUUCAGUACUGCUGCAAACACAAAAAGAUGUUUGAGUUUAAAAACUCCAAACUCCAAACAAACAGACCCUCUCCCAGAAGAGCUGAGGCUUCCCAGAACUGCUAUAGCAAUACAGGAUUACUCACAAGAAGAGUAAUCACUAACAUCACCAGACAUGAGAACAGGUGUGCUGCAGUAUGAUGUUACUCUCUUAGGAAGGUCCUAGGUGAGAUUCUCCUGCACCACUUCAGUAAGGAGGUUAUUGUGGGGGGGCUUUUUAAUGGCAUGGAAUUCCUUGUCCACUCUUUUGUAGAAAGAUGAAAUUUAUUUUAUGUCAUUGCAAAAGCACGUAUGAGUGUAGAAUGAAAGAGAAAUUUGUAUACUAACAUGGAGCUUGCAUUUGUAAUAUGAAAAAUGAAACAUUUAUUUUUUUGUGGUGGGGUACAGAAUGAGACAAAUAGAAAAAUGUUGAUUCAUUGAAGGUAAGGAAGUUGAAAAGUCAUUAAAAAGAUUUUGGAAGUGUCUUUAUAUACUUUAGCACUUGGCUGUGCAGAAGGAGUGUUGUUGGUGUAUUAAGUAGAAGAUGUUAGCUUUAGCUACACAGAUAAGCAAUAAUUUUUCUUUAUUCUAGCAAUGUAUAAAAAAUAAGUUGUGUUUUAGAAGACAGAACUGUAGUUUAAUGAAGUCAUGGACAGAAGUUACUGCCUGGAUAUGUUUUCAGAGGAGGUAACUGCCCCUCAGCUGCUUGUCACCAUCUUUUCAGCUGGUGAUUAUCAUCGUCUCAGAUCUGUUCGUUGUGCAUGUGCAUGUCAUUUUCUAACUUGUCUGUCAAAAUGAGUUAGGUUGAAAAUACUUUCUUUUUCUUUUUUUUUUUCUUUUUUUUUAAAGCUAACUUGGUUCUCUUUGAAGGCAACAGAUUGUGGAACAUUUGUAAUAAGAGCCCCUCCAGCAGAUAAUCUCAAGCAGAAGGGUGAUGACAGGCGGCUGGAGGUUGUAACCUCUUCUGAGCUGGAGGAGUUUCUUGAGAUAAAUCAGUUAUUCCAAAACUUGGGUGUAGCAAGCAUAUCUGCUGCAGGGGCGGGGGUCUUGUAGACACCCCUCACCCUGCAAAAGCUGCUUCUGACACCUCCACAGCCAGGAGCCACCCAUGCUGCUGAUCUACUCCCUUGUACAGGCAUGUGACUGAGAGCAGGGUGUCAGUAUUUAGAGCCUGUUCGAGUCAGAAAGACAUGCUGGAGUGGAAAGCAGGCCAGCUUGGAACAGUGAUGCUGAGUAUGAGGAUGCCUUUGUCAGCUUGACUAAGGACCAACCCACCUACAGGUGCCAUUCUUUGAUGAAAUUGGGUUGAAAUCCAGAUGCUCUCAUCCCAUAACUGCAACAAAAAGGGGUACAGCUGCUGCAGGAGCAACAGCAGACACUCUGGGGGUCUGUCAAUGCCCUGGAGUGCACUGCAGUUACUGAAAACCUGCUUUCUCAGGAAUCCAAUUCAUAUGCGCUGAAAUGCUAACAUGAAGGUUGUCCUAAGAUGCUUUUGAGUUAAUGUGGUAAUGUGGGAGUUGCUAUGGCAUUUAUUCAUUGAGAUGCAUGAGUUGAGGACUUAUUAGUGUGGGAGGCCAUACUUCCUUUCUGCAGAGGAAGAACUCCACAGUGCUCAGCCUAGUUAAUAUAUCUCAGGAUAUGAAACUUUAUAAAUAAUGACAUGUAAAGGAGGCAAUUUAUGGUUCCUCUUGCCAAGAAUUUGCCUGACUUGUUUAUUUGGGGAUAGGAUGAGGUCCAUUUUCUAUGUUAAUAUGAUAGGCCUAAUCUCUAGCAGGUUAGAGUGAUAUAUGGUGUCUCAAAUGGAUCUUCCUGUUGAAGACGAAGAAGUAUUUGUCCUCAGUCCCAAAAUCCAAGAGGUCAUGGUCAAAAGCAGAUAAAACAACCAUAGCUGUGGAGUCAGACACAUACUCAAACCAAAAUGGCAAAUUGGAUAUUUUAAGUGAAAUCCAAGUAGCAGUGAUGUGAGUGCAAGGAUGGAACUGCAGUCCUAGGGCCACAAGAGAAUGAGCUGGAGGAAAGGUGAAAAGUCUGUUGAAUUGUUCUGGCACGGUGUUAAAUGUGCACCACUAUAUCCAGCUGGGAGAAGUAGAAGGACCUGUAGUGGAGAUAGUUUUACUUGGUCUUGCCUUCUUUAGUGCUUAGGGUACAGGUCUCAUCUUGUAACUGAAAUUCCUGAAUUUCUGGCUUUAAUCACCAAGAACAGUGUAUUUUUAUGAGGACUUUGGUCUUUCUAGUGGGACUUACGGAACAUGAUGGUUUCUUAAUGCAGCAUUCUUGCAUCCAGAUCACAGAAUCACAGAAUCAUUAGGUUGGAAGAGACCUUCAAGAUAAUUGAGACCAACCCAUGCCCUA
Catharus ustulatus (Swainson's thrush) is the source of this 4144-nucleotide long non-coding RNA. RefSeq lists it as uncharacterized. NCBI's taxonomy places the organism in Eukaryota, Metazoa, Chordata, Aves, Passeriformes, Turdidae. The record is from RefSeq and is a predicted model, not a curated record. The transcript is spliced from 7 exons.